RNAcentral lists this non-coding RNA (24 nucleotides) under Arabidopsis thaliana (thale cress). The record is from RNAcentral. Lineage: Eukaryota; Viridiplantae; Streptophyta; Magnoliopsida; Brassicales; Brassicaceae.
UGACGGAAACUUAACGACAUGCCC